RNAcentral lists this ribosomal RNA (521 nucleotides) under Alternaria brassicae. Its description in RNAcentral is "eukaryotic LSU rRNA". The stretch from base 143 to 296 matches the Rfam family "5.8S ribosomal RNA". Lineage: Eukaryota; Fungi; Ascomycota; Dothideomycetes; Pleosporales; Pleosporaceae. The record is from RNAcentral.
ACCUCUCGGGGUUACAGCCUUGCUGAAUUAUUCACCCUUGUCUUUUGCGUACUUCUUGUUUCCUUGGUGGGUUCGCCCACCACUAGGACAAACAUAAACCUUUUGUAAUUGCAAUCAGCGUCAGUAACAAAUUAAUAAUUACAACUUUCAACAACGGAUCUCUUGGUUCUGGCAUCGAUGAAGAACGCAGCGAAAUGCGAUAAGUAGUGUGAAUUGCAGAAUUCAGUGAAUCAUCGAAUCUUUGAACGCACAUUGCGCCCUUUGGUAUUCCAAAGGGCAUGCCUGUUCGAGCGUCAUUUGUACCCUCAAGCUUUGCUUGGUGUUGGGCGUCUUGUCUCUAGCUUUGCUGGAGACUCGCCUUAAAGUAAUUGGCAGCCGGCCUACUGGUUUCGGAGCGCAGCACAAGUCGCACUCUCUAUCAGCAAAGGUCUAGCAUCCAUUAAGCCUUUUUUUCAACUUUUGACCUCGGAUCAGGUAGGGAUACCCGCUGAACUUAAGCAUAUCAAUAAGCGGGAGGAAUU